GGCUAUGCAGCUGCUUGGUUUUGAUCUUCUACUGGCAGCCAAAAUUGUAAGAGGAAAGUGCAGGCUUAAGGGGUAAGCAGUGACAGCCCAUCAGUGGUCUAACAACAAGACAAAUGACAGGCCCACAGGCACACCGAGGACGGCCAGCCCAUCAGCUUUGAAGACUGCCAAAUGGCAGCUACAGAGAUGGAAGGUCAUUCAGACUUGAACGUUUGGGUCUUGCUGGGGUCUCUCUGCCCUGGAAACAUUCUUCCAUACAGAGAGCCCCUCCUGGAAGAGUGAAAAGUCACCAAAAUUAAAUGGACACAAAGAAAGGAGACCUGUCACUAUUGUACGAUACUUCUUGGGCAAAACCCACGUCAUGAAGAAGCCCCCACUUAGCAAAGAUCUGUCUCUGCAAUUUACCUAAGAGGAGGAAUGCUUUCAUAGCCCUAGUGAAUACGUAGACUAUUGCUGCUGUUUGUCAGAAAUGCCAAGACACACAAGAAAGCUCUUGGUGUCAGAGGGCAGCGCAGAUCUGCCUGUGGUAAUUGAAAACAGCAAUGAGAUUGGGUUGAUUUUAUUUUGGAAAAGGUAAAUCAGUGCUGCAGCACGAUGACAUGGAUAAUUCAUGAAGCUGCUGGUUUGUACGAGACACCCAACAUGUCUUUCAGAAGGAAAUGACACAACAAUUAAUGUGUCAGAUAAUAAUGUGCCACUUGGAGAAAGAUAAUUGUAGCCGGCGUUAGAUAGUUAUUAGGUCAGAACGCACGCUCAUGCUUUCAAAGGCAACAGUCUAUUCAUGCUGACAUCCCACUGUAAGUAAAGUAUUGUGUUCAUAAGCACACAGGCUACAGCCAGGGAUGCUGAGUUCUAUCUGAUUUUUCUCUGCUUGGAAUAAUACUCUCAUGAUUCCCUAAACAACACCCUCAGUCAUGUGAAACACAGGUGAAGGUAUUGAAAGAAAUGGAGAGAUAAAUGAGGGGCUUU
This 969-nucleotide long non-coding RNA is filed under the name Lynx pardinus (Iberian lynx). The record is from RNAcentral. Lineage: Eukaryota; Metazoa; Chordata; Mammalia; Carnivora; Felidae.